GCACGCACGUCGGCUUCUACAUGGGCCUUCUUAGUUUUUUUAAAAAUUUUGGGACUUUUGCUGCAAAUUUUGGGUUCAUUUUUUAGGGUUUUAACAGAUAAAAAAUUGGGCUUUUGGGAAUCCAUCCAUUCCGCAAAUUCAAACCCUUAAAAAAAGGCAAGGCAAGAAGAAGAAAAUCAAGCAAAGUGGAUGAAAAUUUGAGGAAAAUCAAGACCAAGCUUGUGCAGUCUUUAAGAACCCAACUAAGGAGCGGGUUAUAUAUUUUCUUAUAUUUCUUCUUGAAUUUGUGUAAUGCAAUUGAUUUUGUGUAAUGCUUUCUUCCAAAUUUUGUAAAUUUUUGUACCACUUUUGUAUAAUGGAUUAAAUCUUUUGAUGUUGGGAUGAAUAAGGAAGCUUGGCCCCCAUGGCACA
Molecule: long non-coding RNA, 411 nt
Filed under: Olea europaea subsp. europaea
Lineage: Eukaryota; Viridiplantae; Streptophyta; Magnoliopsida; Lamiales; Oleaceae
Source: RNAcentral